UGUUGAGGUCCUGAUCUCACAGGAGCCCAGUGAGCAUCUUGAAAAUGUUAAAGAAGGAGAUAAAGUCACAUUCUUAUGUAAUGUGAAGAAAAGCUCCCCACAACCAUACGCCUUUGCUUGGUAUAAAAAUGGAAGACGCCAACCCAAUUCAGACCCAUGGAAUCAAAAAAGAGUUGAUAUAUUGAAGGUCCAGCCCCAGCACAGUGGUCAGUAUGAAUGCGAAGCCACGAACUCUGUGGGCGGUGGGAAAUCAGCACCUCGUCAUUUUCAGGUUAACUACAAGCCAAGAAACACCCGGAUUUCCUCAGAGAACUUGAACGAUAACAGCGUGAGCGUUAGCGGCUCUCUCACACUGACCUGCAACACUGAGGCCUUUCCACAGCCGUGGUUCACCUGGUACCGUUACCGACAGACCGACCGCUUGAACCUGACGCACAUGAGCAGAGAACAGAGCCUAACACUGAAGAAGGUGCAGAGAGCGGACGAGGCCUGUUACAGAUGUAACACAUCAAACAGCAUCGAUACUGGGGACGUCAGUGAGCCGCUGUGCAUACGUGUACGGUUUCCUCCCACCAGCAUGGUGCUGUCGAUGGAGCCUGAGGUGACAGAGGGCCAGCCGGUAACGAUCACCUGCUCUGUGGAGAGUUUCCCGCCGUCACGUUUUACCUUGACUAGAUCAAACAACAAAUCAACUUUAAAAGAAUUUCCAGCUGAUGGAAAAAAUGCUGUCCGCCACACUUUCGCUGCAACCUCGACAGAUGCAAACAGUUACACCUGCAAUGCACGGAACAGUGAGGGAGGUGCACAGAGCGCCCCGAGGACACUAGUGGUGACAUAUGCCCCUAAAGAAGUGACGGUAGAAGCUGUGCCCGGUCUCGUGGUGAAAGAAAACAAGAAAUUCAGGUUGGACUGCAGGGCCAAGUCCCACCCACCAGUGCGCUCCAUGACCUGGGUGAAGAGGCCUCAUGGGGGGG
Molecule: long non-coding RNA, 974 nt
Organism: Salarias fasciatus (jewelled blenny)
Lineage: Eukaryota; Metazoa; Chordata; Actinopteri; Blenniiformes; Blenniidae
Exons: 4
Source: RefSeq, a predicted model, not a curated record